CUUACGGGUGUCAGCAGUGAGGAAUAUUGGUCACUGGGCGCGAGCCUGAACCAGCCAAGUAGCGUGAAGGAUGACUGCCCUACGGGUUGUACACUUCUUUUAUAAAGGAAUAGAGUGAGGCACGUGUGCCUUUUUGUAUGUACUUUCUGAAUAAGGAUCUGCUAACUCCGUGCCAGCAGCCGCGGUAAUACGGAGGAUCCGAGCGUUAUCCGGCUUUAUUGGGUUUAAAGGGAGCGUAGAUGGGUUGUUAAGUCAGUUGUGAAAGUUUGCGGCUCAACAGUAAAAGUGCAAUUGAUACUGGCAGCCUUGAGUACAGUUGAGGUAGGCGGAAUUCGUGGUGUAGCGGUGAAAUGCUUAGAUAUCACGAAGAACUCCGAUUGCGAAGGCAGCUUACUAAACUGCCACUGACAUUGAUGCUCGAAAGUGUGGGUAUCAAACAGGAUUAGAUACCCGAGUAGUC
Molecule: ribosomal RNA, 460 nt
Filed under: uncultured bacterium
Lineage: Bacteria
Description: partial 16S ribosomal RNA
Rfam family: Bacterial small subunit ribosomal RNA
Source: RNAcentral